Molecule: ribosomal RNA, 2103 nt
Filed under: Klebsiella pneumoniae
Lineage: Bacteria; Pseudomonadati; Pseudomonadota; Gammaproteobacteria; Enterobacterales; Enterobacteriaceae
Description: bacterial LSU rRNA
Rfam family: Bacterial large subunit ribosomal RNA
Source: RNAcentral
CGGCGAUGUCCGAAUGGGGAAACCCAGUGCAAUUCGUUGCACUAUCGUUAACUGAAUACAUAGGUUAACGAGGCGAACCGGGGGAACUGAAACAUCUAAGUACCCCGAGGAAAAGAAAUCAACCGAGAUUCCCCCAGUAGCGGCGAGCGAACGGGGAGCAGCCCAGAGUCUGAAUCAGCUUGUGUGUUAGUGGAACGGUCUGGAAAGUCCGACGGUACAGGGUGAUAGUCCCGUACACCAAAAUGCACAGGUUGUGAACUCGAAGAGUAGGGCGGGACACGUGGUAUCCUGUCUGAAUAUGGGGGGACCAUCCUCCAAGGCUAAAUACUCCUGACUGACCGAUAGUGAACCAGUACCGUGAGGGAAAGGCGAAAAGAACCCCGGCGAGGGGAGUGAAAAAGAACCUGAAACCGUGUACGUACAAGCAGUGGGAGCACCUUCGGGUGUGACUGCGUACCUUUUGUAUAAUGGGUCAGCGACUUAUAUUCUGUAGCAAGGUUAACCGUAUAGGGGAGCCGCAGGGAAACCGAGUCUUAACUGGGCGUUAAGUUGCAGGGUAUAGACCCGAAACCCGGUGAUCUAGCCAUGGGCAGGUUGAAGGUUGGGUAACACUAACUGGAGGACCGAACCGACUAAUGUUGAAAAAUUAGCGGAUGACUUGUGGCUGGGGGUGAAAGGCCAAUCAAACCGGGAGAUAGCUGGUUCUCCCCGAAAGCUAUUUAGGUAGCGCCUCGUGAAUUCAUCUUCGGGGGUAGAGCACUGUUUCGGCUAGGGGGUCAUCCCGACUUACCAACCCGAUGCAAACUACGAAUACCGAAGAAUGUUAUCACGGGAGACACACGGCGGGUGCUAACGUCCGUCGUGAAGAGGGAAACAACCCAGACCGCCAGCUAAGGUCCCAAAGUCAUGGUUAAGUGGGAAACGAUGUGGGAAGGCACAGACAGCCAGGAUGUUGGCUUAGAAGCAGCCAUCAUUUAAAGAAAGCGUAAUAGCUCACUGGUCGAGUCGGCCUGCGCGGAAGAUGUAACGGGGCUAAACCAUGCACCGAAGCUGCGGCAGCGACACUAUGUGUUGUUGGGUAGGGGAGCGUUCUGUAAGCCUGCGAAGGUGACCUGUGAGGGUUGCUGGAGGUAUCAGAAGUGCGAAUGCUGACAUAAGUAACGAUAAAGCGGGUGAAAAGCCCGCUCGCCGGAAGACCAAGGGUUCCUGUCCAACGUUAAUCGGGGCAGGGUGAGUCGACCCCUAAGGCGAGGCCGAAAGGCGUAGUCGAUGGGAAACAGGUUAAUAUUCCUGUACUUGGUGUUACUGCGAAGGGGGGACGGAGAAGGCUAUGUUAGCCGGGCGACGGUUGUCCCGGUUUAAGCAUGUAGGCUGAUUGUCCAGGCAAAUCCGGAUAAUCAAGGCUGAGGUGUGAUGACGAGGCACUACGGUGCUGAAGUAACAAAUGCCCUGCUUCCAGGAAAAGCCUCUAAGCAUCAGGUAACAUCAAAUCGUACCCCAAACCGACACAGGUGGUCAGGUAGAGAAUACCAAGGCGCUUGAGAGAACUCGGGUGAAGGAACUAGGCAAAAUGGUGCCGUAACUUCGGGAGAAGGCACGCUGGUGUGUAGGUGAAGUCCCUGCGGAUGGAGCUGAGACCAGUCGAAGAUACCAGCUGGCUGCAACUGUUUAUUAAAAACACAGCACUGUGCAAACACGAAAGUGGACGUAUACGGUGUGACGCCUGCCCGGUGCCGGAAGGUUAAUUGAUGGGGUUAUCCGUAAGGAGAAGCUCUUGAUCGAAGCCCCGGUAAACGGCGGCCGUAACUAUAACGGUCCUAAGGUAGCGAAAUUCCUUGUCGGGUAAGUUCCGACCUGCACGAAUGGCGUAAUGAUGGCCAGGCUGUCUCCACCCGAGACUCAGUGAAAUUGAACUCGCUGUGAAGAUGCAGUGUACCCGCGGCAAGACGGAAAGACCCCGUGAACCUUUACUAUAGCUUGACACUGAACAUUGAGCCUUGAUGUGUAGGAUAGGUGGGAGGCUUUGAAGCGUGGACGCCAGUCUGCGUGGAGCCAACCUUGAAAUACCACCCUUUAAUGUUUGAUGUUCUAACGUUGGCCCCU